RNAcentral lists this ribosomal RNA (627 nucleotides) under Hymenochaete arida. RNAcentral describes it as "SSU rRNA". It matches the Rfam family "Bacterial small subunit ribosomal RNA", at positions 349 to 962 of the family's 1533-position model. Lineage: Eukaryota; Fungi; Basidiomycota; Agaricomycetes; Hymenochaetales; Hymenochaetaceae. The record is from RNAcentral.
CAGCAGUCAAGAAUAUUAGUCAAUGCUCGCAAGAGUGAACUAGCUAACUGAAAUCCUUGAUGUGUCAUCGAGGAUAAGGUAAGGGAAAAUAAUGAUAUUACCUUACUAUUAGUGUCGUCCAAAGCUCGUGCCAGAAGACUCGGUAAUGCGAGAGACACAAACGUUAAUCGUCUUGAUCAGGCGUAAAGGGUAUGUAGGCGGCUUUAAGUACCCUGUUUUUAAGUUUACCGUUAUAUCUCACUUUAUCCCAAACGUACGUAAAAAUACGUAGGAGUGUUUUGUAAUGUUAAUACAGGGUCAAUUAAAGCUAGAAUCUAACAGAGGUUAAAACAAUGCUUAAGGUAGGAGUACGAACCGUAAAUAUUAGGUAGAGUGUUAAGGGCGAAGGCAUUUAUCCAAUGAAGAUUGACGCUGAGAAACGAAGGUGAGGGCAGAAAAAAGGAUUAGAGACCCUUGUAUUCCUCACUGUCAACGAUGAAUGGUAGUUACUAGGGAGAAAUAACCUAGAUACGAUGUUAACACGAAAACCAUUCCGCCUUGUGAGUACGACUGCAAAGUUGAAAACAAAAAAAUUAGUCGGUUUCGGAGCAAACGAAGUGAAGCAUGUUAUUUAAUUCGAUAAUCCGC